This 253-nucleotide ribosomal RNA is filed under the name uncultured bacterium. Its description in RNAcentral is "partial 16S ribosomal RNA". It matches the Rfam family "Bacterial small subunit ribosomal RNA", at positions 524 to 776 of the family's 1533-position model. The record is from RNAcentral.
UACAGAGGUCUCAAGCGUUGUUCGGAUUCAUUGGGCGUAAAGGGUGCGUAGGCGGCGCGGUAAGUCGGGUGUGAAAUCUCGGAGCUUAACUCCGAAACUGCAUUCGAUACUGCCGUGCUUGAGGACUGGAGAGGAGACUGGAAUUUACGGUGUAGCGGUGAAAUGCGUAGAUAUCAGGAGGAACACCGGUGGCGAAGGCGGGUCUCUGGGCCGAUACUGACGCUGAGACGCGAAAGCGUGGGGAGCGAACAGG